AGCCCGCGGGGCGGAGCUGUAGCAACCAAGGCUGUACGGUUGUCUCUGCGGGCUGUAGCAGUGGUGCCGGGUGUCGCUUGCCUCUUCAGACUAUGAACAGCUCUUCCAAGGCCAGAACAGAAGCUCCACUUAGGAGCUAGGAUCACCACCACAAAAUAUUACCUCGUGGGGCUCCCCGUGGUCCACUCUGCCCAGAGCCUCGCUUGAAAUUCUGCUGAUAUCCAUCCUAAAAGACAAGCUCGUUAGUACUGAAGAAAUGCAGGUCCUCUGUAUCCAUUCAUCAAGCCUCGAGCACCACGGGAACCUCCACGAGACACACCGCGACUGUUGUAAUAGGGCUGACUGCU
Odocoileus virginianus texanus is the source of this 347-nucleotide long non-coding RNA. RefSeq lists it as uncharacterized. Lineage: Eukaryota; Metazoa; Chordata; Mammalia; Artiodactyla; Cervidae. The record is from RefSeq and is a predicted model, not a curated record.